CACGAACCGUACGAACGUUAUCCGGAAUUAUUGGGCGUAAAGCGCGCGUAGGCGGUCUGUUAAGUCUGAUGUGAAAGCCCCCGGCUCAACCGGGGAGGGUCAUUGGAAACUGGCAGACUUGAGUACAGAAGAGGAGAGCGGAAUUCCACGUGUAGCGGUGAAAUGCGCAGAGAUAUGGAGGAACACCAGUGGCGAAGGCGGCUCUCUGGUCUGCAACUGACGCUGAGGUGCGAAAGCGUGGGGAUCAAACAGG
This 253-nucleotide unclassified non-coding RNA is filed under the name uncultured Staphylococcaceae bacterium. RNAcentral's name for it is "contains 16S-23S intergenic spacer region". It matches the Rfam family "Bacterial small subunit ribosomal RNA", at positions 524 to 776 of the family's 1533-position model. Lineage: Bacteria; Bacillati; Bacillota; Bacilli; Caryophanales; Staphylococcaceae. The record is from RNAcentral.